CCUACGGGAGGCUGCAGUAGGGAAUCUUCCACAAUGGACGAAAGUCUGAUGGAGCAACGCCGCGUGAGUGAAGAAGGGCUUCGGCUCGUAAAGCUCUGUUGGUAGUGAAGAAAGAGAGAGGUAGUAACUGGCCUUGAUUUGACGGUAAUUACUUAGAAAGUCACGGCUAACUACGUGACAGCAGCCGCGGUAAUACGUAGGUGGCAAGCGUUGUCCGGAUUUAUUGGGCGUAAAGCGAGUGCAGGCGGUUCAAUAAGUCUGAUGUGAAAGCCUUCGGCUCAACCGGGGAAUUGCAUCAGAAACUGUUGACGUUGAGUGCAGAAGAGGAGAGUGGAACGCCAUGUGUAGCGGUGGAAUGCGUAGAUAUAUGGAAGAACACCAGUGGCGAAGGCGGCUCUCUGGUCUGCAACUGACGCUGAGGCUCGAAAGCAUGGGUAGCGAACAGGAUUAGAUACCCUUGUAGUC
RNAcentral lists this ribosomal RNA (465 nucleotides) under uncultured bacterium. RNAcentral describes it as "partial 16S ribosomal RNA". It matches the Rfam family "Bacterial small subunit ribosomal RNA", at positions 338 to 795 of the family's 1533-position model. The record is from RNAcentral.